RNAcentral lists this ribosomal RNA (304 nucleotides) under uncultured bacterium. RNAcentral's name for it is "partial 16S ribosomal RNA". It matches the Rfam family "Bacterial small subunit ribosomal RNA", at positions 506 to 807 of the family's 1533-position model. The record is from RNAcentral.
CAGCAGUAGCCACGGUAAUACGGAGGGGGCUAGCGUUGUUCGGAAUUACUGGGCGUAAAGCGUGCGUAGGCGGUUUGUUAAGUCUGCUGUGAAAUCCCCGGGCUCAACCUGGGAAUGGCAGUGGAUACUGGCAAGCUAGAGUGUGUCAGAGGAUGGUGGAAUUCCCGGUGUAGCGGUGAAAUGCGUAGAGAUCGGGAGGAACAUCAGUGGCGAAGGCGGCCAUCUGGGACAACACUGACGCUGAGGCACGAAAGCGUGGGGAGCAAACAGGAUUAGAUACCCCCGUAGUCCCUGUCUCUUAUAC